RNAcentral lists this ribosomal RNA (1150 nucleotides) under Enterococcus faecium. Its description in RNAcentral is "bacterial SSU rRNA". It matches the Rfam family "Bacterial small subunit ribosomal RNA", at positions 51 to 1164 of the family's 1533-position model. Lineage: Bacteria; Bacillati; Bacillota; Bacilli; Lactobacillales; Enterococcaceae. The record is from RNAcentral.
AUACAUGCAGUCGAACGCUUCUUUUUCCACCGGAGCUUGCUCCACCGGAAAAAGAGGAGUGGCGAACGGGUGAGUAACACGUGGGUAACCUGCCCAUCAGAAGGGGAUAACACUUGGAAACAGGUGCUAAUACCGUAUAACAAUCGAAACCGCAUGGUUUUGAUUUGAAAGGCGCUUUCGGGUGUCGCUGAUGGAUGGACCCGCGGUGCAUUAGCUAGUUGGUGAGGUAACGGCUCACCAAGGCCACGAUGCAUAGCCAACCUGAGAGGGUGAUCGGCCACAUUGGGACUGAGACACGGCCCAAACUCCUACGGGAGGCAGCAGUAGGGAAUCUUCGGCAAUGGACGAAAGUCUGACCGAGCAACGCCGCGUGAGUGAAGAAGGUUUUCGGAUCGUAAAACUCUGUUGUUAGAGAAGAACAAGGAUGAGAGUAACUGUUCAUCCCUUGACGGUAUCUAACCAGAAAGCCACGGCUAACUACGUGCCAGCAGCCGCGGUAAUACGUAGGUGGCAAGCGUUGUCCGGAUUUAUUGGGCGUAAAGCGAGCGCAGGCGGUUUCUUAAGUCUGAUGUGAAAGCCCCCGGCUCAACCGGGGAGGGUCAUUGGAAACUGGGAGACUUGAGUGCAGAAGAGGAGAGUGGAAUUCCAUGUGUAGCGGUGAAAUGCGUAGAUAUAUGGAGGAACACCAGUGGCGAAGGCGGCUCUCUGGUCUGUAACUGACGCUGAGGCUCGAAAGCGUGGGGAGCAAACAGGAUUAGAUACCCUGGUAGUCCACGCCGUAAACGAUGAGUGCUAAGUGGUUGGAAGGGUUUCCCGCCCUUCAGUGCUGCAGCUAACGCAUUAAGCACUCCGCCUGGGGGAGUACGACCGCAAGGUUGAAACUCAAAGGAAUUGACGGGGGCCCGCACAAGCGGUGGAGCCAUGUGGUUUAAUUCGAAGCAACGCGAAGAACCUUACCAGGUCUUGACAUCCUUUGACCACUCUUGAGAUAGAGCUUCCCCUUCGGGGGCAAAAUGACAGGUGGGGCAAGGGUUGUCCUCACCUCCUGUCCUGAGAAGUUUGGGUUAAUUCCCCCCACCAAAGCAACCCUCUAUUGUUAGUUUGCCCCCCUUCAAUUUGGGGACUCUUCCAAAACAGCCGGUGACAAACC